AGGUGCAUGGCCGUCGUCAGUUCGUACUGUGAAGGCAUCCUGUUAAGUCAGGCAACGAGCGAGACCCACGCCAACAGUUGCCAGCUCGGUCCUCCGGGGAUGGUGGGGACACUGUUGGGACCGCCUCUGCUAAAGAGGAGGAAGGAAUGGGCAACGGUAGGUCAGCAUGCCCGAAUUAUCUGGGCUACACGCGGGCUACAAUGGGUGGGACAAUGGGUAUCGACACCGAAAGGUGAAGGCAAUCUCCUAAACCCAUCCGUAGUUCGGAUUGUGGGCUGCAACUCGCCCACAUGAAUCUGGAAUCUGUAGUAAUCGUGUCUCAAAAUGGCACGGUGAAUAUGUCCCUGCUCCUU
RNAcentral lists this ribosomal RNA (353 nucleotides) under uncultured Methanomicrobiales archaeon. RNAcentral's name for it is "bacterial SSU rRNA". It matches the Rfam family "Archaeal small subunit ribosomal RNA", at positions 988 to 1338 of the family's 1478-position model. The record is from RNAcentral. Lineage: Archaea; Methanobacteriati; Methanobacteriota; Methanomicrobia; Methanomicrobiales.